Molecule: ribosomal RNA, 186 nt
Filed under: uncultured bacterium
Lineage: Bacteria
Description: partial 16S ribosomal RNA
Rfam family: Bacterial small subunit ribosomal RNA
Source: RNAcentral
GCCUUCAUGAAGCCGGAAUUGCUAGUAAUGGCAGGUCAGCAUACUGCCGUGAAUACGUUCCCGGGCCUUGUACACACCGCCCGUCACACCAUGAGAGUUGGGAAUACCCGAAGCCUGUGAGCUAACUUUUGGAGGCAGCAGUCGAAGGUAGAAUCAAUGAUUGGGGUGAAGUCGUAACAAGGUAAC